AUUGAACGCUGGCGGCAGGCCUAACACAUGCAAGUCGAGCGGAUGAAGGGAGCUUGCUCCUGGAUUCAGCGGCGGACGGGUGAGUAAUGCCUAGGAAUCUGCCUGGUAGUGGGGGAUACCGUCCGGAAACGGGCGCUAAUACCGCAUACGUCCUGAGGGAGAAAGUGGGGGAUUUUCGGACCUCACGCUAUCAGAUGAGCCUAGGUCGGAUUAGCUAGUUGGUGGGGUAAAGGCCUACCAAGGCGACGAUCCGUAACUGGUCUGAGAGGAUGAUCAGUCACACUGGAACUGAGACACGGUCCAGACUCCUACGGGAGGCAGCAGUGGGGAAUAUUGGACAAUGGGCGAAAGCCUGAUCCAGCCAUGCCGCGUGUGUGAAGAAGGUCUUCGGAUUGUAAAGCACUUUAAGUUGGGAGGAAGGGCAGUAAGUUAAUACCUUGCUGUUUUGACGUUACCAACAGAAUAAGCACCGGCUAACUUCGUG
Molecule: ribosomal RNA, 484 nt
Filed under: uncultured bacterium
Lineage: Bacteria
Description: partial 16S ribosomal RNA
Rfam family: Bacterial small subunit ribosomal RNA
Source: RNAcentral